RNAcentral lists this long non-coding RNA (2230 nucleotides) under Setaria viridis. RNAcentral describes it as "long non-coding RNA (SVIR_LNC002878)". The record is from RNAcentral. Lineage: Eukaryota; Viridiplantae; Streptophyta; Magnoliopsida; Poales; Poaceae.
GAUUCAAAUGUUGGAGGGUGCACCUAUAUGCUGCAGAUCUGAAUUUGGGAGCGAUAGGACCGGUUGACAAUUGAAUCCAAAUUUUCCCAUUAUUCAUGAUUCCUUCCAUAUUUGAUCAAUUCUCGAUACCAUUUUGCUAUUAAACUCACGAGUUCUUUUUUUUAUUCCUUAGAAUUUUUUUUCUCUUUCUGGUGGUAUCAAACUGCCACAAUUUUUUUUCUCUUGUUCCGACCAAAAAAGUACAAUUGGUUCGAUUGUAGGGGUGAUUAUUUACUUCACGGGCGAGGUUCCUGGACCUUUUGAGUAAGACUGAAGAGGAUAUUAUGUGAAUUGAAAGUUUUCGUAUGGAAGAUGGAAAACUUAUAUGUGUGGUCGAUCUUUUAGCUCCUUAUCGACGUGGAGGAAAAAUCAGACUAUGUGGGGGAGAACCCAAAGGAAAAGGAUAGGUGCAGAGACUCAAUGGAAGCUGUUUUUUUGAUUCCGUCGAAAAUCGAUUUUACGGUAUUUUAUUAUAUGUUAUAUGUAUUUAUUUAUAUAAUAAUAAAAUAUCUCUAUUUUAUGCUAGUGGUAAGAGAGAAUAUGAAUGAUUUUCUUAUUUUUCUUGAUUUUAUCAAGAUUUUGAACCUCAACAUAAAUAAACUUCUAUAUCUCGAUAUAUAUAAAAGAAAAUCUCUCAGGCUCGAACUGAUAACUUCCACCAUGUUAAGGUGACCACGAUUGAUCCUCAAAGGUAAUGAAUGGAAAAAAUAGUAUAUAAUAAAAUUGACGGGAGGAGGACGGAUCGUUCACAUUUGAUUUGAUGGUCAGAGGCUAAUUGACCCAUUACAAAAUUGGAAAUUUCAAAUUUAAUCUAUUUUCUAAUCUAUUGUAUUCUUUUUCGAGAAUGCCGCCACUCGGACUGGAACCGAGAAUAGCGAGUUUUCUAAUCUAUUAUAUUCUUUUUCGUUGUGCAUGGGCUAUUAGGCAAAGAGUUUAUAGGAGAGUUUAGAGUUUAUAGGAGACUAUGUAAGAGUGAAUACCUCCUCAUCUACCGCGAAAUAGCCCUUGUAUGGAACGAAAUAGCUAACAUACUAUCAAAAUGCAAACAUUGACCGCAACCACGCACGCACACUCAAUGCAAAUAACAUAUUACAUGUUUUGUCAACAAAUAAUCAUAAUUAUCACAAUAAACAUAGUUCUCUCACAAAUAAAAAUAUUUUUUCACAAAUAAUGGUAGUUCUCACGAUAAAUAUAAACAUAGUUGUCUCAUAAAUAAACAUAGUUUUGACAACUAAAGAGAAACAUGAUCCAGCUAAAUCAACACGUUCAUCUAGUCUGACUCACUUUCACAUAGUAACUUAUCAUCAUCAUCAUCCCCGGCAAUAACAACUCCCUUUUCUUUCUUAUCCAGAUUAACCUUACCAACAGGUAAAUCGGCAACAAGAGCCUUCAUCGUCUCUAUUUGUGCCUCUUCCGCUUUUUCUUGUAACUCUUCUAUUUCAAUCCUUCUCUUUCUUGCCCUAACCUGCUGCAAAUAUUUUUCCCAUGAACCCUUAGGUUAUUUUGCAUUCGGAUCAACCACAAAAUCUAAGCGAUCUCUCUCCUCCCUCAACCUUUGUUUCUCCAACUCCCUCUCCUCCUGCAACUUUCUCCUAUUUUCUCUCUUCUCAUUUUCAGUUAGAGGUCGUGGAUACUUGGUUCUGUUCUGCCUCCAAUACUUAAUAAUAGUUUCCCUCGCAUAAAAUCCUUCAGGAUCCACUCCAGUCUCAUGAACCAUAUCUUGGUAUAUUUUCCCCCAAAGCAAGUCGUCAUCAAGUAUAGGCACAUCAUAAUCCUUUCUAAUCUUUUCUAUCAGUUCUUGUUUUUUCUUGACUUACAUGGUUUCGAUGUACUACCCAACUUUAACAAUAAAUCACAACGAUCAGAAAAAUCUUCCCAAUUACAUAUCCUUCCCUCCUGUAACAAGAUUUUCAUAUUCUUACAAAUUUGAAACAAGAUCCAACCUUAAUAACACAAAAGAGACGAGUAGUUACUCACCCAGUAGUCGCCAUAUGCAUUGCCACAAAACAAACCAUAUCCAAGCUCAGAAGGCACCACACCUUUUGUUGCCAAUAUACCACACUUGCAUCAACAACUAGGAGAGGACACACAUAGCCUUGGUGCCUUUCCACUCUCGAACUCCCGCACUUGCUACUCUGUUGGCCACAUCGCCUUUAGGCCGUAGAUAUACUCAUUGAAAUCACACAACGAC